GUGGGGAAUAUUGGGCAAUGGGCGAAAGCCUGACCCAGCAACGCCGCGUGAAGGAAGAAGGCCUUCGGGUUGUAAACUUCUUUUAUGAGGGACGAAGGAAGUGACUGUACCUCAUGAAUAAGCCACGGCUAACUACGUGCCAGCAGCCGCGGUAAUACGUAGGUGGCAAGCGUUGUCCGGAUUUACUGGGUGUAAAGGGCGCGUAGGGGGACUGGCAAGUCAGAUGUGAAAUCCAUGAGCUCAACUCAUGAACUGCAUUUGAAACUGUUGGUCUUGAGUAUCGGAGAGGCAAGCGGAAUUCCUAGUGUAGCGGUGAAAUGCGUAGAUAUUAGGAGGAACACCAGUGGCGAAGGCGGCUUGCUGGACGACAACUGACGCUGAGGCGCGAAAGCGUGGGGAGCAAACAGGAUUAGAUACCCUUGUAGUCC
This 428-nucleotide ribosomal RNA is filed under the name uncultured bacterium. RNAcentral describes it as "partial 16S ribosomal RNA". It matches the Rfam family "Bacterial small subunit ribosomal RNA", at positions 354 to 796 of the family's 1533-position model. The record is from RNAcentral.